This 500-nucleotide ribosomal RNA is filed under the name uncultured bacterium. Its description in RNAcentral is "partial 16S ribosomal RNA". It matches the Rfam family "Bacterial small subunit ribosomal RNA", at positions 28 to 507 of the family's 1533-position model. The record is from RNAcentral.
GACGAACGCUGGCGGCGUGCCUAAUACAUGCAAGUCGAGCGGACUUGAAGGAGUGCUUGCACUCCUGAGAGUUAGCGGCGGACGGGUGAGUAACACGUAGGCAACCUGCCCUCAAGACUGGGAUAACUACCGGAAACGGUAGCUAAUACCGGAUAAUUUAUUACAUAGCAUUAUGUGAUAAUGAAAGACGGAGCAAUCUGUCACUUGGGGAUGGGCCUGCGGCGCAUUAGCUAGUUGGUGGGGUAACGGCCCACCAAGGCGACGAUGCGUAGCCGACCUGAGAGGGUGAACGGCCACACUGGGACUGAGACACGGCCCAGACUCCUACGGGAGGCAGCAGUAGGGAAUCUUCCGCAAUGGGCGAAAGCCUGACGGAGCAACGCCGCGUGAGUGAUGAAGGUUUUCGGAUCGUAAAGCUCUGUUGCCAAGGAAGAACGUCUCAUAGAGUAACUGCUAUGAGAGUGACGGUACUUGAGAAGAAAGCCCCGGCUAACUACGUG